UAUAGACUAAGUUAAUCACGUUUAAUCACAUAUUAAGCUAAGCUUAACAAAAGCCACGUGGAUGGAGGACUAAAAGACAAAAACCCGCGAUUGGUAGGUCCCAGAUAUUUCCCAUGUAUAUAAAUAAAUUGUUGUCGUGGAAUCUUAAAUCACUCACUCAAUUCCAGUCUACUGCCGAUCUGAUCUCGAUUUCCAGCUCCAAAAACGAAGAAGAUCAUAACCCAGAAAGAUGCCGACGUCCUGCCGUAGAAGAUCAAGAAGAUUCGUCGGCACUUUGUUCUUCAUCACGAUUCUCUUCCAAAUCCUCUGCCUCAGCAGCCUCUGCCACGGCGGCGCUCUGUUGCCGAGGCGCCUUCUGCUUCAUCCCCAGAUUCCGGCGGCGGAGAUGGAUCGGGAUCAUUACAUUGGUCAUGUACAGCAUGAGCAGGGCAAGAAAGCUGUGGAGCAGAGUUUGAGGAAAGCCCCUCCGAGCAGGUUCAACCCCAUCCAGAACAAGUAGGGAUCGAUCCCAGCCGUCGAUCUUUGCUUCAGUCUAGUGGUACUUAGACUCAAAUUAAGUGAGGUUUUUGUGUAGAGCAAUUAUUAUAUAAGUGUUCUUCAAUUCUUUUUCUUACGUUAAUUUUGUAAGAUUUGUGGCUCGAAUGUUUGUCUUGUCACCAGUUUUUUCAUUAAAAAGCAGAUCUAUAACAGGUUGUAAAUACAUUUUCCAAUCAUUACUUUUUCACAUCCAUGAUCGCCAAACAUCCCCAAAAAUUACCCACAAGUUAACGGUUUCAUCUAUAGUGGUUACGAAUUUUAAGAAAAAUGAGCUAGCAUUCGUAGUCUAAAUUUUAUAUUAUGAUGGUACGUAACAUGAUAUCCGAUUGAAUGGCUCGUGAGGCUCCUCACUACGAAUCUUUACCUUGUAGCUGAACCUCUAGUUCAAAGAACUUUAUUACAAAGCUUACAUAUGUGAAAAUGGUGAAAUGAAUCCUUACUAAUUUUCCAACAUGUCUAGAAAGAUCUUUCAAGAACCUUACAAGCACAAAAGGAAGGCUCAUGGGCCAUAUUGGCCCAUAUCAAUCGACAAAUAUAAGCCCAAAUUCAAGCUCUGUUAUGUGAUGAUGUAUC
RNAcentral lists this long non-coding RNA (1110 nucleotides) under Linum usitatissimum (flax). Its description in RNAcentral is "long non-coding RNA (LUSI_LNC004219)". Lineage: Eukaryota; Viridiplantae; Streptophyta; Magnoliopsida; Malpighiales; Linaceae. The record is from RNAcentral.